AUCAUCAAAUCCUAGAGGUAUUUCCACAUACAUUUCUUCCUAUAAGUCUCUAUAUAAAAAAGUAUUCUUGACAUCGCACUGCUGUAAAUUCCAAUCAAGAUUUGUUGUACAAGACAAUAAAAUCUUGAUGGUGUUCAUAUUUACAAUAGGGGUAAAAGUCUCUUGAUAAUCUAUCCCAUAUAUCUGUUUAAAUUUUUUGCUACUAGUCUGGCUUUGUAUAUCUCAAUUGAGCCAUCUGCUUUGUGCUUCACAGUGAACACCCACUUGUAUCAAACUGGUUUUUUUUCCAUUAAGGAGAGUAACAAGAUUUCAUGUCUCAUUCUUUGUCAAAUCCUUCAUCUCCUCAACCAUAGCAGUAUUCCAUUUUGAAUCAAGGUAUGCU
RNAcentral lists this unclassified non-coding RNA (382 nucleotides) under Hevea brasiliensis (rubber tree). Lineage: Eukaryota; Viridiplantae; Streptophyta; Magnoliopsida; Malpighiales; Euphorbiaceae. The record is from RNAcentral.